AUAAAUCAAAAACACCAUAACUUAAUUGUAGUAGAUAGUGAUGUGAAUAU
Molecule: non-coding RNA, 50 nt
Filed under: Trypanosoma brucei brucei
Lineage: Eukaryota; Euglenozoa; Kinetoplastea; Trypanosomatida; Trypanosomatidae
Source: RNAcentral